CAUCUCCUCGUUAUCUAAUCUCGGUACACAGACGGAAUGUCCUUGCCGCGAGAUCGUGAGAAUCUCGUUCUGCCCCAGCAAACGAACUGCAUCGGCCGAAACGAAUUUCUCAUUUGCACCGGCCGGAUUGACACAGUAUGCCGAACAAUAAUCGAUUCAGCAGACUCAUUUAAGGUAAACUCAGCCUGCGGAUCAACCCGAUACGUGAUUUCGAUACGGUUCGCCCUGAGUUCGGUCCGGGCAAAUGUACACAGACGGAUUAUUAUGAAAUUAUACGUGGAUCAAGUGUCGGUCGAUGGUGCGCGAUGAAUUCGAAGAACGGCCCGAUAGAUAAUUUCAACGUCAGCAAUUCUCUCUUUGGUGGCAGACGCCGGCUGUGUGAUGUUUCGCCCAUCCAAUAAUUGAAGCGAGUAUGAUCUCGAAAUUCGCCUUCGAAAUUCUGUUGAUCUACGAGCAUAUCCAGCGAACUUUAACGAAAAUUUAAAUAUUAUGCGAUGGAAUUCUACCAAAUCGAUUUGCGUUAACAGAUAUUGCACAGAUGGUUUGAUUAUGCUCGCGUCCCGCUAAUUUGACUGCAGGCAACCCGGGAAACUGUAUUCACAUUAACUGCUUUGGAGUGCAGUGAUGCUGCGUGACAUCAUAUCCUGUCUCUAAGCACAAUCAAAUUAUCACUGCACAUGUGACAAAACAGUCGAUGUUCUUUCGUCGCGACAAAACGACUAUUCCUGUUGGCCACUCUCUACUCCGUGUCUCAACAAGUUAACUACUUAAUUAAACUAGCAGCUCAAUGGCGGACAACUCAAAAGGUUUAGAAUUAGCGGCCCUGAGAGCCGAGCUAGAUAUAUUAAAGAACAUAAUAGCUCGGUUCUCAAGUUCUCGCAGCCGCCCAUGUCGGGACUAGCAGCGACAUAACCACCCGCGUCGGGAUCAGCAGCGACGCAGUCGCCCGCGCCGGAACUAGCGAUGUAGGCUGUCGCUCCACAAGAAAAACCCAGAUAUUGGCAAAGAAGUCGAUAAAAUCCUAACAGCUGUGGGUACCGCAGAUAUGGGGAAGGCGGACGAUGCGAAGAUCGCGAAAAACGAAGAUGUCA
Molecule: long non-coding RNA, 1091 nt
Organism: Atta colombica
Lineage: Eukaryota; Metazoa; Arthropoda; Insecta; Hymenoptera; Formicidae
Exons: 4
Source: RefSeq, a predicted model, not a curated record